RNAcentral lists this unclassified non-coding RNA (2416 nucleotides) under Limulus polyphemus (Atlantic horseshoe crab). Its description in RNAcentral is "uncharacterized LOC111089670, transcript variant X3". The record is from RNAcentral. Lineage: Eukaryota; Metazoa; Arthropoda; Merostomata; Xiphosura; Limulidae.
UUGUAUCACUGGUAUGAUAAAAGUAAACAAUUGUGUUGGAGUUUUGACAAUAAGCAGAUGAGAGUAAAAAAUUGUGUGUGUGGUGAAAGUAAACAGUUUGGAUACAUAUUGGUGUGGUGAAAGUAAACAGUUUGGAUACAUAUUGGUGUCUUGAAAGUAAAUAAUUAUUUUGAUGACAAUUUUUUUUUUUGCCAGUGGCAUAUAUUUAGCAGUUAGUUUAAUGGUUACUGGCAAAAAUUCCAGCUGCAUUCACAAACUGAAAAAAAAUAAAAAUUGACUAAUAUAAGAACAAAAUCCAGUCAUAAGGGUUGGACUGGGGGUGGCUGGCAGUAUUUAUGUUACUUACUCAGACAGUGGAUGGAUGCUAGUAGAUACAACUAGUCAGCCCGAUCUAUGCCACUCACCUAUAACAGCUACAAUUCUGUAAAAUCUCACUAAAAUGAGUGGAGAGAUGUUGGAAUAUUUUUAUGCCAUAAAGAUUAAGAUUAUGUUCAGGUUAAUAUGCUUUUUUUUGCCCUUACAAAAAUCUGCUUUAAUUUUCACAUUGCUUAAUAAAAGCCCUUUCGAUUGUCUAUUUUGACAUGUUUGCCAGAUUUCACUUUCUCUGAGGCCUUUCUCAUUCUGCAUGAAGGCCCAUGCACCCUCUAAUAUGACCAAGGCACUGGGCAUGAAGGCUUAUACACAUUCUAGUAUGACCAAGGCACUCUUCAUUUUGUUGAAACAGCAAAGGAACUUUACUGAUAUCUCCAAAAACAUUCUGAAACAGAAACAUAAAAAAAUAAACAGAGUUUCUGAGAAUUCCUUACACUGUUUUCUUAUUUUUACAGGCUUUUGGUUGUUCUCAGGAAAGUUUUUUCAUGUGCACAUUUAUGUUGUUUUAUGAAAGUAAUUUUUUAUGUUAGUAUAUUGAAAGUAAACAGUUUGGUGUAGUGCAAGUAAGCAUUUUUGGUGUUGUGAAGGUUAACAGUUGUGUUGGUUUGAUAAAGAUUAACAGUUGUGUUGGUGUGAUGAAGGUUAACAGUUGUGUUGGUGUGAUGAAGGUUAACAGUUGUGUUGGCGUGAUGAAGGUUAGCAGUUGUGUUGUCGUGAUGAAGGUUAGCAGUUGUGUUGGCGUGAUGAAGGUUAACAGUUGUGUUGGUUUGAUAAAGUUUAACAGUUGUGUUGGCGUGAUGAAGGUUAGCAGUUGUGUUGGCGUGAUGAAGGUUAGCAGUUGUAUUGGUUUGAAGGUUAGCAGUUGUAUUGGUUUGAAGGUUAGCAGUUGUGUUGGUGUGAUGAAGGUUAGCGGUUGUGUUGGUGUGAUGAAGGUUAGCGGUCGUGUUGUCGUGAUGAAGGUUAGCAGUUGUGUUGUCGUGAUGAAGGUUAGCAGUUGUGUUGUCGUGAUGAAGGUUAGCAGUUGUAUUGGUUUGAAGGUUAGCAGUUGUGUUGGUGUGAUGAAGGUUAACAAUUGUGUUGGUAUGAUGGUUAGCAGUUGUUUUGGUGUGAUGGUUAGCAGUUGUUUUGGUGUGAUGGUUAGCAGUUGUUUUGGUGUGAUGGUUAGCAGUUGUUUUGGUGUGAAGGUUAACAGUUGUGUUGGCGUGAUGAAGGUUAGCAGUUGUGUUGGCGUGAUGAAGGUUAGCAGUUGUGUUGUCGUGAUGAAGGUUAGCAGUUGUGUUGUCGUGAUGAAGGUUAGCAGUUGUGUUGUCGUGAUGAAGGUUAGCAGUUGUGUUGGUGUGAUGAAGGUUAACAAUUGUGUUGGUAUGAUGGUUAGCGGUUGUUUUGGUGUGAUGAAGGUUAGCGGUUGUGUUGGUGUGAUGAAGUUUAGCGGUUGUGUUGGUUUGAAGGUUAGCGGUCGUGUUGGUUUGAAGGUUAGCGGUCGUGUUGGUUUGAUGAAGGUUAUCGGUCGUGUUGGUUUGAUGAAGGUUAUCGGUUGUGUUGGUGUUGUGAAAGGUUAGCGGCUGUGUUUGUGUGAUGACAGUUAGCGGUUGUGUUGGUUUGAUGAAGGUUAUCAGUUGUGUUGGUAUUGUGAAAGGUUAUCAGUUUUAGUGUUUUGAAAGUAAUUGAUUGUUUGAGUGUGGUGAAUGUAAAAAGGUAUUUCUAGUAGUAGUAGUGAAACUAAAUGUGUUAGUAUGUUGUUUGUAUAAACACCUGUUUAUUUGUCACACAUCAGCUACUUAUGGUUGUCAAUCUCUAUGCCUGGACCAGUUAGGUUGAAUUUAUUUAAAACUGAAAUUCUCUACUGGUUUCUAUAUGGAUUUUGUUACCAACAUCAGCUUAUAUCUUUUCAAUUUAAGUAAUCAUUUAAUAUUGUCUGUUAUAUUUCACAUAUAACAAUAAGUAGAUUAAUUUCACAGAGAAUUAAAAGUACUUCUGACAUAUGAUAACAGCUUACUUCUGUACAUUACGUACUAUGUUAAAUAAAUGUAAUCUGAGCCUAUCC